Long non-coding RNA from Dromaius novaehollandiae (emu), 1654 nucleotides. RefSeq lists it as uncharacterized. The record is from RefSeq and is a predicted model, not a curated record. Lineage: Eukaryota; Metazoa; Chordata; Aves; Casuariiformes; Dromaiidae. The transcript has 2 exons.
UAAGGAUCAUCUCCUUGGCCUAGCCUGACAUGGUCCCAAGCUGUCCUUGAGGCUGAGGUAGUAGAUUGAAUAGUUGUGGAGUCCUAUCCUCCCUUUGAGCUAACUAUACAAUCUACUGUCUUUCCUAAGGAGACAGUCAGAUCAUCGGUUUUCAUCAUCUACAUGUCAACAAGCAUGGAGGCAGAUGGUGCAAGUAAUCCUGUCUGUAUUCAAGGCCAGUGAUAUGCCUGUGAAUCACGUGAGACCUCUGUACUGCUCUGUGGAGAAGAUGCGAUCAACUUGGGAAAGGUUUAGAUGUGCUAUUCUUUUCUGGUCUAUCCUCCUGAGUCAGGAGGGGAGUGGAAAUUUUGGUACAACAAGGAUAGAUUUGAGCUUGGGAUUUAAGCUUUUUGCACCCAGUUCUGAAGUUUGGGUCAAGAACUAGAUCCAAGAGCAAGCCUUACCUGUGAAAUCAAAGCCCUGGGAGUUUUUCUGAUUUGGCUGGCCGGCUCCUUCUUCAGUAAGUGCAUUCUGGUUUUGGACUAGUCCCAGCUCUCCAAGGGUAUGGAGUUAGAGGGUGGUUCUUUCUGAUUUGAUAACCCAUGUCAACCUAACUCACAUGCAAACCCUAGCUAGGAGAUUAGGGCUCCUGUGCAUUUACAUAUGAUAGAGUCACCAAUUCAGACUGAAGCCCUGUUCUAGAGGAGAGACAGUUAAGGAAAAGGUAUGAGCCAAAGAGAGUGAGUCCUAGUCCUUCUGGGCUCGUCCGGCUCAGUAGCCCUGACAUCUGACAACAGACAUAUGAAAAGGCAGCAUGCUUCAGAGCUCUGCUACUUGACAAGGGACAGGGAAUAGUCAUUUCUUCCCUUUCUUAGAAGCAGAUGGGACCGUCCCUCUGCCAUAUUCCAGUGCAAAUAGGAUCAAAAUCGUGAGUGGGUCUGUAACCUGAUCAGGGCUGCACCAGCUCUUCAAGAGAGAAGGAUGUCUUAGGCCAUUAUCAUUGCCAUCUCACUGUCAGGAAAACGUGUGAGAUCUGAGACAUCAGAGACCAAGGGCAAGCAGAGGACACAUUCACAGAUGAAGUGGGGAGAAGAGAGCUGGAAAAAGAAAUUGGAGCCCUCUAAUUUCAGCGUGAGGAAUGCACGAGGAGACACAGACUUGCCUGCUUGGAUCAGGAGCCUUCCAGAAGUGAAGCAGUUUGUUUGAGGCUCCUCUCCUUCUUGGGAUGGGACAUAGCUGCAGCGAGACUGGGACGUGACUUCCUCAGGCUGGGCAGCAGCUGGUGGGUGGGAAUGCUGCAGUAUCUAGCAGCACAGGAAUGCUGUCCUCUCACCAUAAAUCUGGCUCUUCAGCAAUCCUGGUGCCUUGCUGCACAAAACUACAGCUUGGUCCUCUUACACACAGUAUUAUCCUCUAGCUGCUUGCUAAGGGCUGCAGGGCUUCUACCCCUAAAUUGCUUGGAAGUUACCAAAACAGCAGCACAAACUUGUGAGCAGGGCAGCACAUAUUCGUAUUUGAGAGAUAUCGCCUGGAAAAGGCUUAAUUUUGUGUGUCACAAAUGAAGUCAAUUCAGGUUGCACUUUUCCCCCUUCCAUUGCAUUGAAGUUAAUGCAGGGACUCCUCAGCGGUGAAACUGUGUGAGCUGGAAGCCAUGAAUAAAACAUUACUGGAGAUA